CCCUGGCUGGCUCAGUUGGUGGAGCAUGUGACUCUUGAUCUUGGAGUUGUGGGUUUGAAUCCCACACUGGGUA
RNAcentral lists this transfer RNA (73 nucleotides) under Canis lupus familiaris (dog). It matches the Rfam family "tRNA". From Rfam's summary of the family: Transfer RNA (tRNA) molecules are approximately 80 nucleotides in length. Their secondary structure includes four short double-helical elements and three loops (D, anti-codon, and T loops). Lineage: Eukaryota; Metazoa; Chordata; Mammalia; Carnivora; Canidae. The record is from Rfam by way of RNAcentral. RNAcentral also lists the same sequence under 1 other name.